Molecule: ribosomal RNA, 1301 nt
Filed under: Lactiplantibacillus plantarum
Lineage: Bacteria; Bacillati; Bacillota; Bacilli; Lactobacillales; Lactobacillaceae
Description: bacterial SSU rRNA
Rfam family: Bacterial small subunit ribosomal RNA
Source: RNAcentral
GUCGAACGAACUCUGGUAUUGAUUGGUGCUUGCAUCAUGAUUUACAUUUGAGUGAGUGGCGAACUGGUGAGUAACACGUGGGAAACCUGCCCAGAAGCGGGGGAUAACACCUGGAAACAGAUGCUAAUACCGCAUAACAACUUGGACCGCAUGGUCCGAGUUUGAAAGAUGGCUUCGGCUAUCACUUUUGGAUGGUCCCGCGGCGUAUUAGCUAGAUGGUGGGGUAACGGCUCACCAUGGCAAUGAUACGUAGCCGACCUGAGAGGGUAAUCGGCCACAUUGGGACUGAGACACGGCCCAAACUCCUACGGGAGGCAGCAGUAGGGAAUCUUCCACAAUGGACGAAAGUCUGAUGGAGCAACGCCGCGUGAGUGAAGAAGGGUUUCGGCUCGUAAAACUCUGUUGUUAAAGAAGAACAUAUCUGAGAGUAACUGUUCAGGUAUUGACGGUAUUUAACCAGAAAGCCACGGCUAACUACGUGCCAGCAGCCGCGGUAAUACGUAGGUGGCAAGCGUUGUCCGGAUUUAUUGGGCGUAAAGCGAGCGCAGGCGGUUUUUUAAGUCUGAUGUGAAAGCCUUCGGCUCAACCGAAGAAGUGCAUCGGAAACUGGGAAACUUGAGUGCAGAAGAGGACAGUGGAACUCCAUGUGUAGCGGUGAAAUGCGUAGAUAUAUGGAAGAACACCAGUGGCGAAGGCGGCUGUCUGGUCUGUAACUGACGCUGAGGCUCGAAAGUAUGGGUAGCAAACAGGAUUAGAUACCCUGGUAGUCCAUACCGUAAACGAUGAAUGCUAAGUGUUGGAGGGUUUCCGCCCUUCAGUGCUGCAGCUAACGCAUUAAGCAUUCCGCCUGGGGAGUACGGCCGCAAGGCUGAAACUCAAAGGAAUUGACGGGGGCCCGCACAAGCGGUGGAGCAUGUGGUUUAAUUCGAAGCUACGCGAAGAACCUUACCAGGUCUUGACAUACUAUGCAAAUCUAAGAGAUUAGACGUUCCCUUCGGGGACAUGGAUACAGGUGGUGCAUGGUUGUCGUCAGCUCGUGUCGUGAGAUGUUGGGUUAAGUCCCGCAACGAGCGCAACCCUUAUUAUCAGUUGCCAGCAUUAAGUUGGGCACUCUGGUGAGACUGCCGGUGACAAACCGGAGGAAGGUGGGGAUGACGUCAAAUCAUCAUGCCCCUUAUGACCUGGGCUACACACGUGCUACAAUGGAUGGUACAACGAGUUGCGAACUCGCGAGAGUAAGCUAAUCUCUUAAAGCCAUUCUCAGUUCGGAUUGUAGGCUGCAACUCGCCUACAUGAAGUCG